GGCUAUAGCUCAGUGACAGAGCACUUGCCUAGCAUGCAUGGGGCACUGGGUUCAAUCCUCAGCACCA
RNAcentral lists this transfer RNA (67 nucleotides) under Marmota monax (woodchuck). Its description in RNAcentral is "tRNA.Ala". The record is from RNAcentral. Lineage: Eukaryota; Metazoa; Chordata; Mammalia; Rodentia; Sciuridae.